GAUAAACGCUGGCGGCGCACAUAAGACAUGCAAGUCGAACGGAAGUCGUUAGAGAAUAGAUUGAAGAUUUAUCUGAUUGAAGUUCUUUAACAAUGGCUUUAGUGGCGGACUGGUGAGUAAUGUGUAAGCAACCUGCCUAUUAGAGGGGAAUAACAGUGAGAAAUCAUUGCUAAUACCGCAUAUGCUCACAGUACCACAUGGUAUAGUGAGGAAAGGAGCAAUCCGCUAAUAGAUGGGCUUACAUCUGAUUAGCUAGUUGGUGGGGUAACGGCCUACCAAGGCGACGAUCAGUAGCCGGACUGAGAGGUUGAACGGCCACAUUGGGACUGAGAUACGGCCCAGACUCC
This 347-nucleotide ribosomal RNA is filed under the name uncultured Oscillospiraceae bacterium. RNAcentral describes it as "bacterial SSU rRNA". It matches the Rfam family "Bacterial small subunit ribosomal RNA", at positions 28 to 339 of the family's 1533-position model. Lineage: Bacteria; Bacillati; Bacillota; Clostridia; Eubacteriales; Oscillospiraceae. The record is from RNAcentral.